GCGAGAGUGGUGGAAUUGGCAGACACGCCAGACUUAGGAUCUGGUGCCCCAGGCAUAAGGGUUCAAGUCCCUUCUCUCGCA
Molecule: transfer RNA, 81 nt
Filed under: Treponema sp.
Lineage: Bacteria; Pseudomonadati; Spirochaetota; Spirochaetia; Treponematales; Treponemataceae
Description: tRNA-Leu
Rfam family: tRNA
About the family: Transfer RNA (tRNA) molecules are approximately 80 nucleotides in length. Their secondary structure includes four short double-helical elements and three loops (D, anti-codon, and T loops).
Source: RNAcentral